UUGUUUUCUAGGUUUUGUUUAGCUUUAGCAUAUUUUAUUUGUUAUGCUAUUUGAAUGGGAUUUUUGAACCAACUGCAAGAGUCAUUUGGUGGUGCACAUGCAGAUCCCUGUUAGACCUCACAACAGAUAAAGGCUGCAAUUAUUGAUUCAAUGGAUAUGAGGACAUUCACCUUGGUUCUUUUACAAGAAUAGUAUACUUCAGCUAAAUCCAAGAAUGUAUCCACAAGGAACAAGGAGACCUUUCAGUUAGAAAUCCAGAAGAAAUAUGAAGAGAUCUUGGGACAUGGUGGUCAUUGGCUCAUUACUUUGCACUUGUAAAGCAGAAAAUAGAGGCGCUGAAGGAUGAAAUCAGAAACUUUGGUGCGUCUUGAGUUCACGUGAAAAUAGUUCAUGCACAUGGUGGUCAUUGGCUCAUUACUUUGCACUUGAUUGUGAAAAUAGUUCAUGCAUGUGUUCAUGUAUUUGAGUAUUAAUUAAUUGCAUUCUUCUUUGCUGCUCAGUUCUGCUAGUGUUAUUGUAAUAACACGAUGAUUUUAUUUAAAGGGUUAAAAUUUAU
RNAcentral lists this long non-coding RNA (556 nucleotides) under Panax ginseng (ginseng). RNAcentral describes it as "long non-coding RNA (PGIN_LNC007979)". The record is from RNAcentral. Lineage: Eukaryota; Viridiplantae; Streptophyta; Magnoliopsida; Apiales; Araliaceae.